UCUUUCUUCCUCAACCUCCUCUGCUCCCUCCUGCUCCUUUGCCCAGGCCCCUCUCGGCCUCUGCUCAAUGGAGUGGCCGACGAGCGAGGAUUGAUGCCCGCUACUGAAUUCCCUGAAUUCCUUCUCGUUCCUCUAUUUUUCCCCCGAUCAAUUGACGCCCUAAUCUCCCUGAUUUUGAGCCUGUGUUGUUGGAUCGCAGGUCCUGGUCGCAGCCGUGCAGCUAGACGGCGCACACCGGAGCUCGGGGUACGCAGCCGCGGCGGAGCUGCUCCGGCGUAGACCCGCGGCCUGGUGCUCUACUGCCACUCCUGCGCUUUCCCCAUUACUCCCGUUCCCCAAGUCGAACUGCGGAUACUCGCAAUCUUUGGCCAGCUUUCUCCAUCGGGUGUUUGGCAGCUCUCCUUCAAGCGCUCACAACGCCGAACACAUAUAUGUUGAAGGGAGGAUGGUAGAUCAGGUACCGCAGGGAUGAGAAAUUUGCAGAUUCUUCGAAUGAAACAGAUGGCUCCUUGCAAUUAAUAAGAUUGAGGAAUUCUGGAACUGUAAAACCUUUAGCCGAGAGCAUGUGGUUGAGUAUCACAGGACUGCUAACACUGAGUGAUUUCUGCACCCGAAACUGUGAGAUGCACUUCGCUUUGAGCUUCGGGACAUCUUUUAAAUAUACGCUGUGAAGUUGCAGGAAAGACAGUCCUUCAAUAAAGCACAGAUCAGGGAGAUCUACUAGUCUUAAUGAUGCAAGGGAGGUCAGAUGACCAAUUGACAAGGAUGCAAGGCCUCCACAGCCACCCAUGUCAAGAUCUCAGGUGCGGUAGACCACUACUGAAGAAAUUAGCUCCAACCACGCACCGGGAUGUAAUGAGCAUCGUAAGUGAUAAUGGCAUUUCAUCUGCUCCACGUGCCAAGUCUAGAGAAGGGCAGGAGUAAAAUCUGACAUCCAAAAGAGAGGUAGCAGCUCGUAAACCCCCUAAUGACCUGAGACACCAGCAAGACUCGAUGCACAGGUAGCGAAGCUCUGUCAAAUGUUGGAGGACCUCUUGAGAUGGAAGUGUAGUCAAAGUCAUGAUCUUAUCUAAGGUCAGCAUUCUCAGAGAAGUGAGAGUAUUAAGGCAAACAACUAAUGCCCCAUCUGUAAUACUGCAUGAAUAAAGAUGAAGUUGGGUAA
Molecule: long non-coding RNA, 1162 nt
Organism: Triticum aestivum (bread wheat)
Lineage: Eukaryota; Viridiplantae; Streptophyta; Magnoliopsida; Poales; Poaceae
Exons: 3
Source: RefSeq, a predicted model, not a curated record